ACCUGGUUGAUCCUGCCAGUAGGCAUACGCUUGUCUCUAAGAUUAAGCCAUGCAUGUCUAAGUUCAUACAUUUACAUUGUGAGACUGCGGAAGGCUCAGUAUAUCAGUUAUAAUCUAUUUGAUUGUUCUCCCCAUUGGAUAACCGUGGGAAAUCUAGAGCUAAUACAUGCAGUUAAUUGGGUGUUGGCAACARCAUUCAAAGCAUUUAUUAGAUCAAAACCAACUGCAGUGAUGCGUCAGUAUCAUUGUAAGGUGAAUCUAGAUAACUUUGCUGAUCGUAUGGCCUUGUGCCGGCGACAUUUCAAUUGAAUUUCUGCCCUAUCAACUUGUUGGUAAGGUAGUGGCUUACCAAGGUUACAACGGGUAACGGGGAAUCAGGGUUCGAUUCCGGAGAGGGAGCCUGAGAAAUGGCUACCACAUCCAAGGGAGGCAGCAGGCGCGCAAAUUACCCAAUCCAGAUUCUGGGAGGUGGUGACGAGAAAUACUAGAUAGUUUCCUAACGGAUGCUAUACUGGAAUGGACGUAAUUUAAGAAAUUCGAUGAGUAACAACUGGAGGGCAAGUCUGGUGCCAGCAGCCGCGGUAAUUCCAGCUCCAGUAGUGUAUCUUAAAGUUGCUGCGUUUAAAACGCUCGUAGUUGGAUUACGCAGCAUAAUCUAGUAGAUUUGCUCGAUGCCACACUAAAUUCAGCUAUUGGUGGUUGCUACUAUGGUUUAUCCYGGCAGUCGCCAUCASUGGUUGAAGUGGUACGGGCAAAUUAACAGCUAGUUUAUGCUACUUUUUCGUGAGGAUGGCAGUUGACCUUUAAUGUGUUGAUUGUCGUGUCUUACGAAGCGUGCCUUGAAUAAAUCAGAGUGCUCAAUACAGGCUUUAGCUUGAAUGUCGAUAGCAUGGAACGAACAAUUGUGUUAAAUGUGUCUUGUUCAGCUUCUAGGUUGAUUUAUAUUGGCCUAGAAAUCCUGUUCAACUCACAGCACCAACCACCAUUAUCGGAUGUUGGUUUCCGUGAUGGGGUGAUGAUUAAAAGGAGCGGUUGGGGGCAUUGGUAUUUUGCCGCGAGAGGUGAAAUUCUUGGACCGGCAAAGGACUAACAAAUGCGAAGGCAUCUGUCAAGACCGUUUCCAUUAAUCAAGAACGAUAGUGAGAGGUUCGAAGACGAUCAGAUACCGUCCUAGUUCUCACUGUAAACUAUGCCGACCCGGGAUCAGUUUCGAGCUAUAUUACGCUCGUGGUUGGUCCCCCUGGGAAACCUCAAGUUUUUAGGUUACGGGGGGAGUAUGGUCGCAAGGCUGAAACUUAAAGGAAUUGACGGAAGGGCACCACCAGGGGUGGAGCCUGCGGCUUAAUUUGACUCAACACGGGAAAACUCACCUGGUCCGGACAUCGAAAGGAUAGACAGACUGAUAGAUCUUUCUUGAUACGGUGGAUGGUGGUGCAUGGCCGUUCUUAGUUCGUGGAGUGAUCUGUCAGGUUGAUUCCGGUAACGGACGAGACCAUAAUUUUCAUUUAAGGAACUAGAGAAGACUUUGAGAAGGUUCGCCUUUUCCUUGUCGCUGGUACAGUGUGUUUUCAUUGCGUUUUGACCUGUUGUCAUUCGUCUUUUACGAGAAGGGUGACAGUGGGAAGAGACGUAAUAACGGGAUGCAUUGUCCCUCUAGUCAAACAUCGUAGAGCUUGCUUUACGGUGUACUAUGAAAAGACAACCAAGAAUACUUAAGAAGUUGGAGGAAGUUUUUGGCAAUAACAGGUCUGUGAUGCCCUUAGAUGUCCAGGGCCGCACGCGCGCUACAAUGAUAGCAACAAUGAGUGUCUGGGUCGAAAGACUUGGGUAAUCUUAUCAAUUGCUAUCGUGAUGGGGAUUGAUCGUUGUAAUUAUCGGUCAUGAAAGAGGAAUCCCUAGUAUGCGUACGUCAUUAGCGUAUGCAGAUUAAGUCCCUGCCCUUUGUACACACCGCCCGUCGCUACUACCGAGUGAAUCGUGUCAUGAUGCCUUGGAACUGGACAGCAUUCAGGUAUGUUCUCAUACUGGAGUGUUGCUAGGAUCAAUGUAAAAUGGCGCAAUUUCGAGGAAGUAAAAGUCGUAACAAGGUUUCCGUAGGUGAACCUGCGGAAC
This 2112-nucleotide ribosomal RNA is filed under the name Myxobilatus gasterostei. Its description in RNAcentral is "SSU rRNA". It matches the Rfam family "Eukaryotic small subunit ribosomal RNA". Lineage: Eukaryota; Metazoa; Cnidaria; Myxozoa; Bivalvulida; Myxobilatidae. The record is from RNAcentral.